Molecule: ribosomal RNA, 729 nt
Filed under: Ruehmaphelenchus asiaticus
Lineage: Eukaryota; Metazoa; Nematoda; Chromadorea; Rhabditida; Aphelenchoididae
Description: eukaryotic LSU rRNA
Rfam family: Eukaryotic large subunit ribosomal RNA
Source: RNAcentral
AAGAGAACGUGAAACCGGUAUAAUGGAAGCAUAUGGAGUUGACGUAUCUGGUAUGUAUUCAGUUGUUUGUGAGCGGUUGCGUAGGUGGCGAUUCCGUAAGGUUCGGCACCUAUUCCCAGCCGUUCGCAUGCGAUGCACUUACAUACGGAGUGUGCUGGAUCAUGUGAGGACGCUUGUCGGAAUCGGUUAAGAGGACACGCAAGUGAAACCUUGGCCGGUGUAGGCAAGUUGGCUUUACAUGCGCGAUUCGUUUGGUUCUACGCGGUUUUGGCGAUUAUGUACGUUGAAUUGGUGCGUUCACAUGUGUAUGUGCCUUUACGAUGUGCGUGAUUGUUUUGACAGCCCAAGCGAAUAUCCGGUAUUCGAGUCAAUGACCCAUUUGACCCGUCUUGAAACACGGACCAAGGAGUGUAAGGUAAUCGCGAGUUAUUGAGCUAACGAAACUCAAAAGCGCAAUGAAAGUGAGGCCCGUAGAUCGGCCGUGGUGUGAGGUUGCGUGGGUUUUGUGAUCCGCCUACCGCAACACCGGCUCAUGUCGAGGACUUGUCCUGAUGUGACGCUUGAGCGAUUGCGUUGCGACCCGAAAGAUGGUGAACUGUGAUUGAACAGGAUGAAGCCAGAGGAAACUCUGGUGGAAGUCCGAAGCGGUUCUGACGUGCAAAUCGAUCGUCUGAUUUGAUUACAGGGGCGAAAGACUAAUCGAACCAUCUAGUAGCUGGUUCCUUCCGA